Molecule: ribosomal RNA, 469 nt
Filed under: uncultured bacterium
Lineage: Bacteria
Description: partial 16S ribosomal RNA
Rfam family: Bacterial small subunit ribosomal RNA
Source: RNAcentral
GACGAACGCUGGCGGCGUGCUUAACACAUGCAAGUCGAACGGAAAGGCCCUGCUUGCAGGGUGCUCGAGUGGCGAACGGGUGAGUAACACGUGGGUGAUCUGCCCCUUACUUUGGGAUAAGCCUGGGAAACUGGGUCUAAUACUGGAUAGGACCAUGCUGUAGGUGGUGUGGUGGAAAGAUUAGUUUCGGUAAGGGAUGAGCUCGCGGCCUAUCAGCUUGUUGGUGGGGUAAUGGCCUACCAAGGCGUCGACGGGUAGCCGGCCUGAGAGGGGGGACGGCCACAUUGGGACUGAGAUACGGCGCAGACGCCUACGGGAGGCAGCAGUGGGGAAUAUUGCACAAUGGGCGCAAGCCGGAUGCAGCGACGCCGCGUGGGGGAUGACGGCGUUCGGGUGGUAAACUCCUUUCAGCCAUGACGAAGCCCUUGUGGUGACGGUAGUGGUAGAAGAAGCACCGGCUAACUACGCG